CCUUUUCGCCUCUCCUCGUUCUCUCCCUCGCCUUUCCUUUCCUUUCUCUUCCUCUCUUCCUCGCUCCUCGGUCUCGGCGCUCUCCCAGCUUUUCUUCUCCUGGCUCCUGGUUCCCCGCUACGCCACCAGUCCACUCACCUCUCUCCUUGCCCUACUCCCUCCGCUACUCCCUGACGCCCCCUGCAGCCCCCAGCCCCCCUGCAGGCCCCAGCCCCAGUAAGUUUGGAGAGGGGAACAAAUGCUGAGCCUAGGUAGGGACCACCUUGGGGAGGAAGCCAAAAUCACACUGCUCACCCGAGAGCCCCUGCCCCGCGCUGGCACGCCCCCGCCUGGAGUGCACUCGUGGCCCCGGGCGCUGUCAGGUACCCGAAUUGGGGCUGCCACCGUGUCGGAGGCGAGGCGAGGAAGGGAGCUGGAAUAACAAAGGCAAGUAAUGGGGUAGAUUGGAUACCUCUGGGGUCUUGGAAGAAGCUAUGACUUAUUUACUGUCUACUAUGUGCUGAAGCCACUUGCUCAGAGCCGCACAGCAAGCCCACCACCCUGAACCUCCAGAUUACCAACUCAGCAUUGUGUCCUGACAGUGUCAUCAUAGAUGGUCAACACCGUCACCUGGGCAGCACUGAAGCCCAGAGCGGGAGAGACUGGCUCAAGACCAUGGGGAGCUCAGGAGGGGGAAUUGCACUGAAGAUUUGUCCCAUCGUGAAGCAAGAGCACUGGAACUUACACUCCACCAUCAGGCCCUGUCACAGGAGAACAAAGAAGGAAGGCAGAGGAGAUCAUGCUCCGGCCAGCAGGGAAUCUCCAUUUUUUUCAGCCUCAUACCUUGGAAAGUACAAAGGAGUGAGAGCUGGGACUACCAGCCAGAGGGUUCAUGGAGGUAGUGGGAGGGGAAGAUGGGUUCUGCAUGGAGCCACUCCAGGGACUUUUCUUCUGUCUCACAGCCUGACAAUCACCUCUAGCUGUUCUCAGUCCCAUUCUCAUCAAUGACCUCGUCUCCUGAUUUUGUACAAUAUCUAGGUGACCUUCUCUUCUUUCCAUCUUCAAACGCUUGAUCAUUGAUGCUCCCUUUUCUCUUCUCUCUCCUCCUGGGAAAAGAGAAGGACCAACAUCCCCCUUUCCCUUCCUCCUGUGCUGUCCCGACCCCUCUGAGACCUGGCUCUAGCAGUAAGUCCCUCUCUCUUCUGCAGCACCAGCCUCUGCCCAUCCCUGCCCUCUGCACACAAAGCUCUCACAUUGUCUGCACUUUAAGAACUUUUGUGGCAAACCCUGGCAAAUCCUGCCACUUGUUUCCACUCUUCUCAAAUGGCUUUGAGGUCAUCAUUGACCUAUCCCAUUUGACCCUGUCCUGUAUCUGAUGUUGUACCCUUUCUCCUUGAUCCCACUCUGGCAACUCUCCCACUCCCCUUUCUUGGAUCAACUGUCUUGCUCCUCAGUCUUGAUCAAUGCCUCCUUCUCUCUCUUUAGCCUUGGCCCUUUUUGGCCAGGGAAAUAAAUGUGAAAUACAUAAAGCUUCAUUUUAUCUUAUGAUUAUAGCUAUGUUGAUGUUACCCAAGACCUAAAAGUCACACUCUCUAAUUACACUUCCCUCCUGUGUUCUGGGUCCUCUUGGACCAGUCCUUACUCUGGCUCCCCUCCUGGAUGUCUCCCAGACUUCUAAUUAGAAUUACUGUUUCCUAUAUCAAGCUAAUUAUCUUUCCCACCAACCUCCUCCAUCCUUGGGUGAAAGCAUCACUUGGUUGCAAAAGUCAGAAAUCUGGGUUUCAUUCUUGCGGUAGGUAGAAUAAUGCCCCCAGGCCCCAGGUUUUGACAUCCGAAUCCCUGGGACUUUGCAGAUGUGAUUCAGUUUAGGAUUUUGAGAUGGGGAGAUUAUCUGGGAGAGCCUGAUGUCAUCAUAAGGUUCUUAUAAGAGGGAGGCAGGAGGGUUAGAGUGAGUAGUAAGAGAUGCAACAGUGGAAGCAAGAGGUUGGGGUGAUGUGGCCACAAGCCCAGGAGUGCUGACAGACAUCAGAAGCUGGAAGGGACAAGGAAUGGUUUCUCCUCUGGAGCCUCCAGAAAGAACCAGCCCUGCUGACACCUUGAUUUUAGCCUUGGAAGACUCAUUUUGGACUUCUGACCUUGAACGUUGUAAGAGAAUAAAUUUACAUAUUUUAAACUGGUAUGUUUAUGGUAAUUUUUUAACAGAAGCCGUAGGAAAGGAAUCCGAUCCUGAUGCUGUUUCUCCAUCACUAGCUGCACUCAUUUGGCCCCUAGUCCAAUCAAUUUUAUCUCCAAAAUACCUUUCAGGUUAGCUCCUCCUUUCUGCCUCAAGCCUAUGUAAUCAUUAUUUCUCCUAAGAGGUCCUGCAAUGAUCUUUUAACUGAUCACCCUAUUAUUCCGUGCCAUCCCUGUCACUGUGUCAAGAGUUAGGAUCUGAUCUGCAUUUCAUGAAAAUGAUAGUCCUCUCUCCACAACUUUGCAGGCUAAAGCAGGGAGUUUAAUUACUCAGGCUAUGGGGGGCCCUGGAAUGUGCUCUAUGACCAGUCACUAGCCUCUCUCUCCUGCCCAGAUCCCUACCUCACACCCUACCAUUUAGGCAAUGGGGGUAAUGGCAGUGGGCACUUUGUCCAUGUGGUUUCAUCACCCUGACAUACUCUCCUGUGACUUCUACCAACCCUUCAAGAGUCUGCACCUUCUUUGGGCCUCAGCUUUCUCAUCUGUACCAUCAAGGGGCUUAUCCAGAUGAGCUCAAAGCUCUAUGGAACUCCUCAGCCUGAAUAAUUGAACAGAGUAGAUUUCAUUCACC
RNAcentral lists this long non-coding RNA (2782 nucleotides) under Homo sapiens (human). Its description in RNAcentral is "non-protein coding ZMIZ1-AS1:26". Lineage: Eukaryota; Metazoa; Chordata; Mammalia; Primates; Hominidae. The record is from RNAcentral.